AGUUAAUGAGACUUUAUUUCACGAGGUUCUGUGAAAUAUGGAACGGCAAUAUAUACUGGUACAUACUAUCCGGCAAAACACAGAUAGAUUUUCACUCCUCUGGAAAAAAAAUACCUGUGAUAUACCAUGUCUGGAAAAAAAUUACUGUGACAAAUUAUCCUCAGGAUAAAAUAUCACAGAGGAAGAAAUAAACAGUUACAUAGAAAUCAUCAAGUGCAAACUAACAUUCCUUAUCGCUUGUUAUAAAUUCAUUUCUUCAAUGAAUACUCAUCAAAUACUUUUUAAGAUUCAUCAUAACCUUUUGGCUAAAAUGGCCGUAUUUACACCACAAAUUUUACCGUCCGAGUACAGAAAAACCUGUGCACCUGCGAAAGUUUUAAGGCAUGUCUGGACCUAGAUAACUUAUAAUUUUAGAUGCAUUUUAUGGUUAAGAAAAUUAUAAACUUUUCAGGAUUUUGCUAUUCAUUUUUUCUUUCAUUCCUGCAGAAGGUGCAAAAAUAAACCUAGUUGGGAAAACGUUUGAGAAGCUCCCCUUCUAUAAUCGAUGUUGUCAGUAGUAUUGAUUUAAAUGGACAAUAGAUGGACAAUAGACACCUGUAAACAAUAGGUCUUUUAAACUGUGUAGCGGAGGGGACCGUUUGAAGUGAAAUUCGUGUGUUUGUUUAUUUUGCUAUCUUCUGCAGACUGGAAAAAAUGCAAGUCAAAAUCCAGGUAAGUCAUUAAUUUUCUGAAACAUAGACUUCAUAUAACUUUUAUAUACCUAGGUCCAGCCAUGCCUUAACACUUUCCUAGAUGCAUCAGUUUGUCUGUACUCAUAGUAAAUUUUAGUAUACCACCAUUUCCCAUGUGAAACUGAAAAAUCGCCUAAAAGAAAUAAUCCACAAUUAACAUAAAAAUGUGGGAUAUCAUAAGGAUACAUAUUUGUUUGUUUUUGUUCUGAUUGAGAUUGCGACACGAUGAUGACUGCUAUACCCCUAUUUUUACAAUUUUACUUCUUAUGUCUGUUUUGUUCACAUAUUGUUGUCAAUAUAAUGUAAUUUGAUACGACUUUCAUACACGUGAGAGGUUAAGCGCUAUAAAAACAGGUUCAAUCCACCAUUUUCUACGGUUGAAAAUGUCAAGAAUAUAACAGUUGUUGUUCAUUCGUUUGAUGUGUUUUAUCAUUUGAUUUGGGACUUUCCGUUUUGAUUUUUCCUCGGAGUUCAGUAUUUUUGUGAUUUAACUUUUUAGUACAUCCUAAUAAAUAUCUUAAUUGGAUUUUGUUUAUUUUAUACUUAAGGGGGCUCCUGGGUAUAAAUCAAUUUUUUUUUCUAAUAUAGGAUUUCGCGAAAUUUUUUUUAUAAAUGAACUUUAUCAUAUACUUAAAAGAAAAAUGAAAUAAAAAAAUGGGGUUACCGUUCAUUUAAGCUCACAAUCUGCCUCCGGAAAAAGCAUACAUUUUUGUUAAUGUCCUUUUUUUCUUUUGAGCUAAUAGGGGAAAUAGAGGUAAUACCGAAAUAAAAAAAUAACCUAAUUACAGAUAUCGCUUAAAUUUUACAAUUAUUUAAGUUUAUGUACAGCCUAUUUGAAAACAAUAAUAAAAAAUAAAGGUCACCGAUGAAUUAAAAAAGAUAUUUGACAUUUAAUGCAAAAAAAUGUCAUUUUUGCACCAAAGGGAGAUAAUUUGGAACUUUUUCAAUGAUAUAAACAUUUUAAAAGUCAUCUAAAUUUUUGUAUCGAGUUUAAUUGUGAUUUUGUUUAAUUUUUGCUUAGUUGUACUUAAUUCCACCUGCACUAUUACACAUUACUCUAGUGAUACUUGCCUAAAUUAUUGUUAUUGAUUAUUUAAACUAGAUCAAUAUUUAAUGAUUAUGUGGUUAUAUUAUUGUGAUAUGUUACUAGGAGAUUAUUGAAACCAUUUGGAAGUCCUGUUUUAGUUUAUGAUAAUAUUUGUAAUUUCAUCUGCAAUAAGCAGGCAACUUGAUUUUGAGUCUAUGGUUCUUAGAAGAUAACAUAAACUAUUUCCAAGGACCUCUGUGAUAUCAUUAAUGUAAUAUUAAACACUUCUGUUGACAUGUAUUUAAGUAUGACUCCACCUAAGAAUCAUGCAAUAUGAAGAAAAAGUGAUUUACCCUAUGUAACCAAUAUGCUAGAUAUUUGGUUAUGUGACAUACUUUGAGUAAAAAUUAACAUAUUUUCAACAAGAAUUGUUAAUGCCUACUAUUAAUGUCAUUUAUACCCUAAUAAAAAUUCAGAUGGGCAUGUUUUUUCUCACUAUAUAAGUAUUGGAAAUAUGAUGAAUGCUAUAAUAUAUAUCUGCUGUGAGCAGGCGAGAUGUAGUAAACCAUUUAGCAUUUCAGAAAAUAUAGAAUCUCCCAAACAACAUAUCAAAAAAUUAUAUUUGUAGCCUAUGAUCAGUAAAAAGUUAUUUUCAUUUUAAAUUAACCGCUUUUUCUUACUAUUUCAAGGAAAGACAACUAUUGUUGAACUUCAAAACAAGUAAAUAAAAAUAUUUCAUAAUGUAUUCUGCAUUUAUUAUAAAACUGCAAUUAACAGUGUUCAGAAAUUGAUAAUUUAGUAAACAUUCAUUGUUUAUUGCGUUAAAUUGGAUAGAUAAAUCAUUUUUACAGAUGAUUUUUGUUCAGUGCAUCGAUGUCAUAAACUUUGUGUUUUUAAUGUUAGGUUCUUUCCGACCCCCUCGAUAUUUUUAAGUGUGAACAAAAGAGCAUUUCUCCAAUACUGGUGUGGGUUGUUGUUAAUGAGGUCAACCAACUUCAUUAGAAUGCUAUGUCACAGUUUAACGUCGCUAAAAAAUAAAUUUAAGGAUGUUCGCUACUCUGUUUAAAAAUAACAAGCUUUUUAGAAGAUUGUUAUACAUUGAUAGUAUAUAAAUAUAAAUAAAUUUGGUGUAUUUACUGUCUUCUCAUUGGUUAAAAUUAUUAAUUUUAUUUUCAAUGUUGUCAAUUUUUAUGGCGACACGCCCACUCCGUUGACGUUGUGUAUUCAUACGCCAACAUGUGUGUACGUUGUAAUUAUUAAUAUGAAUAAUAUAAAAAGUUCUUUGAGCGGAUUAUUCAAUGUGAAGAGUCAAAAAUUAAUUUUAUGGUUCAAUAAAUUAAAAAUAAAUAAUAGCCAUUCAUUUGAAAAGAAACUAAAAAAGCAGAAAAGAAGCAAACGUGUGCUUGUUUUCGAGAUAUAAGCCAUUGAAAAUUUGGCGGGAAAUAGUUCUCUCUAGAUUUUUGUUUCACUUAACAUGCAUUGGCACCUUUUUUGUUUAAAAAACUAUGAAAAAAUAACAAGGAUUUCAUAAGAUUUUGAAAUAUGGCUUUUUAAACAAUAUGUAAUAAAAAUAUGAAAAGAAAAGUAGUGGUUAAUGGGCAUUUUUUUUAAUGUUAAUACAUUGAUAAAACCUGAGGAUUCAAAAAUCUGGCAAAAAAUCAAAAAAUAGAGGAGCAAACAUCCUUAACGUUAGCAACGUCAUUACCUCCCCUGUAACUGUAUCGCAUGCUCUUUUAAAAGGGCUUACGAUACAGUUUCGAUCCCAUAUUGAAAUUUUAUAUAAACACCCCUCCUUACCAUGAUAUAUCUGUUUAAAAUUGAGAUUCAAAUUGCAGAAUUUUCCUCAAACUACGGAUUUGUGGACGUUUUUUUUCCUUUCGACAGAAAUAAAUAACUUUUUUUGUUUUAAAAGAUAAACACAAGCUGUUUUUUGUUAAAUUAUUUGUAAUUUCUGUUUUUUAUAUAUAUAUAUAUAUAUAUAUAUUGUACAAAUUUGAACAUUUUAUUUUUACAAAUAACUGAAAUGAAAUUGAUCAAAUGUUCAUGAAUAUAGAAAAAAAACUUCAUUUUUUGCUAUAUAUUAAUCAAAUUAAAAAAAAUUUGCACUAUUUACGUUUUCAUGAAAAUUGGCACACAUAAUCUUCUUACGUAAUCGAACCAAAUGUCAUUUUAAGAAAGAGGGAUCCAUGAACUCGUUUUCUAGUUAAAUCAGUUUAAAUGAUAAAAAUCAGUCGAAAACUGCAUCUUUUCUCGAUAAGUUACAGUUUGACGUCGAAGCAAAAAUAACAAUUUACCGUUUAGCAACGCCAUUACCUCCCCUGUAACUGUAUCGCAUGCUCUUAACAAACGUAGGUGAAUUUUGUGUCUUUUGUCGCUUCUGGCAAGAACAAUAUACAUUACUACCUCAAUCUGCAUGAAAUUGCAAUAGAGUGAGACAUGUCAAACAUCUUGAAUUGAAAAAUCUGUAUGCAUUAUAAGUUAUAUGGUUCGCUACUGACCCCAUACGAAUCCAUAGAGGGUUAGUAAAAUCCAUAGGGGGUGAGGCCGGAGGCCGAGUCCCCUAUGAAUUUUAUUCACCCUCUAUGGAUCCGUAGGGGGUCAGUAGUUAACCGUAUAACGAAUUUAUCGGACGCUGGACUUUUUCUGCGGCGUUUUGUUGAAAAAUAAACAAUGAAAUACAACACCAAAUAGAUGACGUCGCCAUUAACGCGUCAUGAACCCCAUAUGAAACUUACUAACCCCAUACGGUCUCUUAUCGGACCACAGAUGAAUUAUCACGUUGUGAUUGGUUAAAUGCCGUCACGUGGUGACCCCCUAUGAGACCGUAUGGGGUUAGUAAGUUUCAUAUGGGGUUCAUGACGCGUUAAUGGCGACGUCAUCUAUUAAUGUUGUUGUGUUUCAUUGUUUAUUUUUCAACAAAACGCCGCAGAAAAAGACCAGCGUCCGAUAAAUUCGUUAUACGGUUAACUACUGACCCCCUACGGAUCCAUAGAGGGUGAAUAAAAUUCAUAGGGGACCCGGCCUCACCCCCUAUGGAUUUUACUAACCCUCUAUGGAUCCGUAUGGGGUCAGUAGCGAACCAUAUAACUUAUAAUAGGGGGUCACCACGUGACGGCAUUUAACCAAUCACAACGUGAUAAUUCAUCUGUGGUCCGAUAAGUAUUGAUGGAAUGCCAGGGAUGUAUUAAUAUUCUGAAUAUUUUUAUCAUUUGCACGAGUUCCUUCUAAAUGCAGGAACUGGUCACGGUGUUAAAUCAUUUUCAUUUUCAUUUUAGGUCAUAGAUUCCGUCAAGCGGAUAUUAUGGUUGGCCCAACAUUAAGUAAAAUGACGGCAUGCACUUAUUACAAAGGUCCGGCUAGAAGUGGAGAACUCCUUAUACUUAAGUGCAGUAAACCUACAAUUGGACGGAUAGUCAAGAUUGCCUUAAGAGGCAAAGAAUACUUACAAUUUAUGGAAGCUAAAGUGUUUGCGUAUGGCAAGACUUGUUUGGAAAAACCUAAACCUUCACAUUCAAGUUUGAAUGUAACUACACAUUCACCAAAAUAAAACAUUUAUUAUCUGAUAUCAAGUAUUAUGACACUUUUCUUGGUGCUACCAUUAUCUUAUUAAAGAUUAAAUCUGC
RNAcentral lists this long non-coding RNA (5381 nucleotides) under Mytilus galloprovincialis (Mediterranean mussel). Lineage: Eukaryota; Metazoa; Mollusca; Bivalvia; Mytilida; Mytilidae. The record is from RNAcentral.